AUCCAGCUGACGAGUCUUAAAUAGGACGAAACACGCACCUUGGAU
Non-coding RNA from Schistosoma mattheei, 45 nucleotides. Lineage: Eukaryota; Metazoa; Platyhelminthes; Trematoda; Strigeidida; Schistosomatidae. The record is from Rfam.